Molecule: long non-coding RNA, 4740 nt
Organism: Capsicum annuum
Lineage: Eukaryota; Viridiplantae; Streptophyta; Magnoliopsida; Solanales; Solanaceae
Exons: 3
Source: RefSeq, a predicted model, not a curated record
AAAGAGAAUUUUAGAAACUCUUUAUCGUUCUCUCUAACCUAGCUUCCGUUUUGUCUUCUCCAAAGUUGAGAGAUGUUCCCGUGGUGAGUACACAAAGUGAACAGGUUAAGGUUCUUAGAAGAAGCUUGUCACCUUCACAAAUUAGCUAAAUGUCAGACCUUCUUUCUUUCAUCAUUUUCUUAACUUAAAUACUAGGCCUUUUUUCUUUCUUUCAUCAUUUUCUUUACUCAGUGGGUUGAGCUUUGAUUGAAGCUAAUACCACUACCUAAACUAGAGAAAACAAAUUAAGAAGAUUAAAGGUCCAUGAAGUAAUCCAUUUAUUUGUGAAAUAGGAUGGUCCAACCUCCAAAUCAGAAUGUCCAAAAUAGAUCUGAUGUUACUGUUGUUUGAAUACUCAGCCCAAUAACAUCCCAAGCUCUCACUGAAUGUAGGUGUUGUUAUUCAGAAAAAUCAUUUCCAAUAACAGAGACUAAUCGAUGAUUGAUGAAGCUCCAAUUUUCAAAAGUAUGAAGUCGAGACUAUUCCAGGAUUUAGCCAUACUUUUACUUCUCCUGCUCAGUGAUCGUGGAUUGAUCGAGAAUUAACUUGAAGUGGUGAGAUUCCAUGCUUCGGAAGGCUCCAUUUCAGGAUUUUGUUUCUCUUUUUAGUUAUAAACUAUUGUAUAGUAUUUUUUUUCUAUAGUUGAGGGAAUGUCCCGACACUUUUUGUAUAUUUAGUUUUUCUUCACUGUUUAGAAGUCUUUGUCUGGACUAAUGUGGUUAUUGAGCAAUGUCGGUCGGUCAUUUGGUUGGUCGUCAGUGGUUGGUUAUAGACAUGCAUUAAAACUUUCUUAAGCCAUUGCAUACUAUCUUAUUAUAUAUUCAGAAUUCAUCUGACUUUGGGGUGUGCUAUUUUUGGAUUGGUUAGUUGCAGGGGGUGAUCUCCGGUCUAUUCAAGACUUAAGAUACCCGACACGAUCAUACCCUAGUUCGGUUCAUGUCACACAGUGGGCGUGAGUACGGUCUACUUGUACUCAUUAGGUAUCAUAAAUUGACCAAGAAAAGUAGUAAAUAAAGUAUACAAAAUAUUUACUAAGGGAAAGCAACCUGCAAUCAGAAAAUGUCCCACAACGGUCGCCCACACCGCUUUCACUUAUAGUUCUAUAAUAUCCAUACAUAAUAAUGUAACAACACACCAGAUAGUGAUACAAAUACACACAAUAUCACAUACAAGUAAUACACAUACAAGUAGACCAAAAGAGGAGCAUGUAUAAUCAAGAUCAUCAAGUACAAAUAAAGAUAGAUAGAACAAUUAGAUAUUAAGAAGUCAAUAUAUAGAACAAAUAGAUAGAUGACGAGUCAAUAUGGCAAUACAAGCACAACAUAAACAUAAUAUAGUAAGUGCAAUGUAUAUGAUGAUGAUAAUGAUGAUGAUAAGGAUGCAUGAGGUUGGCACACCACCUUCAGUUUGGCACACAACCUUGUGGUUGGCACACAACCUCUGUAUUUCUAGUAUUUCUAAUGUUUCCAUUAUUUUUAGUAUUUCAAGUAUUUCCAAAGAACAUACAUAAUAUAUGACACAAAUCAAGUUUACAUACAUGACAAUAAGUAAAUAUAAAGGAAUAAAACAAAAGAGUGAAAUAAUACGUACUAUGAUAUGAGAAUAUAACACCCAAAAUUUUUGGUUCAUAAAAAUUCCUAAACCUUUGAGCUUACUGCCCCGACUACGACUCUCCCUACGAGUCAUAGGGUGUUAUUAUGGGUAGUAUAGUCCCUAAUUAUAUCCUGACCAAUGUGUUUGGCUAAGUAUCUGUGUUGUCCAUGACUAGAAAGGACUAUACGAGUCGUAAGGUACCAAUCAUAGGGUGAACAGUGUGCUACCUAAAGGAUUCUAUCUUGACUAAGACUAGAACCCUAUGAGUCGUAGGGUCACUUGAUGAGUCGUAUGACUUAGUCAUAACCGGAUCAGUGUAGGUUCCCAUAGGUACUGUCCAGCCUACGACUAUGCGUCAUGAGUCGUAGUGUGACCCUACGAGUCGUAACGUCACCCACAGAAACUGGAAGACAGUUUUUAACUUUUAUUUAUGAGGCACUUUGGUCAUUUCCCUCCUUACCCUUUAGACUCCAUGUCCAUAAAACACCAAGGAGGGGUUAUUUUCAAUACUUUAACAUAUCAAAUACUCUCUUCACUCUCUCAAAUUCCCUAUUCAAGUCAAGGCUAGGAUUUUAAGGGAGUUGAUCAUCUAUGGUUCUAAGGGUGACUUCUUCCUCAAUUUUCUUGGUGAUUAUGGCAUGUAUCUCUCUUCUUACACUUGUAUUUUCUUAAUGGUAUAAAAUUGGUUUAUUAUUCAUAUGGUUCUGAUGUUGGGCUUGAAUUAUGUGUUGAGGGUUUUUGGAUACAAAUUGUUUGAAUGUUUUUCCCAUGGUUACGAUUGAUUUAUCACGCAUUGAAUUGUUGUUUUGUGAACUCACUGGGUUUCAUGGAAAUGGUGAGUGGAUUUAAGGGUACAAGGAUUCCCCAAACUUGUGAACAAUGUAAUUAGGGGUACAAGGAUUCCCAAAAUAAUUGAAUUUUUGUAUUGAAAUUUGUAAGAACCCCAAUCCACUUGCAUAAUUAGUUUUGGAAUGUGAUUUAUCAAUUGGCUUGACUUGCUUCUUUAAAACUAGUGUAUUGCAUAAAAUAAAAAAUGGUUAAAGAUGGCUUUGAAAACCUUGUGGGGUAUAAGGAUUCCCCCAAGUGGAUAAUAAUGGCCCUAAAAACCUUGUGGGAUAUAAGGAAUACCCCAAGUUGAUUUUAAUUUUGGAGUCUGCUAUACAAGGAUUCUCCAAAAGUAAUGACUUAAUGACAAAUGCUUGCAAGCUAUAGUCGGUAUGGCGAUACCACUUAAUGAUGCCUUUAUGAUUUACUCCCUAAUGUAAAGGUUGGGUUAUCGGUUAAAUGUUUUAAUUGGUCUAAAAGGAGAUUGUGUUAGCUAGCCAUGAUGAUGUUAGUCCCGAAGGAAUUAUACUGGAAACUCACAUUUGGCGAUGUAAGAGUUGGUCUAGAUGACCGUGCACUUAUGUCAUACUAUAUAUAUAAUUGUAUUAUGGUUGGCAUAGGGUACGAGGAUUCCUUGACCUUCUAUGAUAUCCCUAAUUGGUGCGGCGAACAUGACUUGGGGCCCGACUAGGGGGAGACAUGGGACCCAUAUAGCCCAUGGGUAGUUUUAUGAUGGUCAAGCUACACAAUCUAGGAUAAGGUUUUCAAAUUGCAUGCUAAGCCUUGUUCCCUACCCCGACAUGUUAUAUAUAUAUGUAUAUAUGCAUAUGUUUGUGUGCAUUUGGAUUUUUAGACUGAUUUUGGAUUAUUGAUCAUCGCAUUCCUUUAUCCCUUAUUCCUGAGUUACAUGCUAGUGCUUAACCUGGUAACACAGGUACCAAAAAUACUGCUACUUUUCCUGCACAGUGACUAGGUGAUCCUGGGGUAUCUUAUGAGUUGGAUUACAGUGGAGAGCUUCUAUACUUUGAAAUACCUCAUUUCAUGUUUUGGUUUCAUAGUGUUAUAGACCAUUCUUUUAGCUCUUUUUAGUUAUCAUCGGAGGUAUGUCCUGCCUUAAAUUUCCUUUAGUCUUAAUAGACGCUUGGUGGUUAUUAUUAUGGAUUGGUUAUUGAUGUUGACACUUUUAGAUGUCUAUGAACUUAUUACUGUCUAUCAUGUUAUAUGUUCAAAAUUCAACUAUUGUAGGUUUGCUAUGUUCUAUUAGCUAAGCAAAGAGGGUGGUCUCCAGUCUUUUAUGAACGUGAGAUACCCAUUAUGGCCAGGUCUUGGUUCAAGUCAUGACAAAGUUGAUAUCAGAGCCUAGGUUCAUGGUCAAUUAGGUGUCCACAAAGUAGUGUCAAGUAGUAUCUCUCUCAUAGGCAUGUAGCGUGCCACAAUUAUAAGGGAGAGGCUACGAGACAUUUAGAAAUGUCUCCCUUUCUGGUGUUCUACUUUCGGGCUAUAGAGUCUAAGGUCUUGAAGCUUCUCUAAUCGCAAUUUAUUCAUAUUUUAGAUCAUGCCUACCCAAAUAUCUGAUGCUCGUGGAACUUAUUCUGUCCUACCUAAGGACAAUGUGGGUAAAACUUGUCCUGCUUAUGAAGUUCAGACCCGGUUUAGGGCUCCAGAUCCUGAUUAUAAUACCCCAUAUGGAGUUCCAUCAGUCUCUACCAGUCCUCUUUGGGAUCCUCAAGCUAAUGAUGAUCACGUCUCAUCGUACUAUGAGAUUUUACUAAUGCAAAAUUUUGUCGAUCUAUUCAUCUGUUGACCCAAUUGGUGACCUCUUAGUCACCUUAGUUGGGUCCUAUUUGUAAUACUAUGAUUUUUUAUGAGUUUACUCGAGUCAGAUAUGAGGUUCAAUCCUUCAACCUUUACUGGCUUAAAGGUUGAGGAGGAUUCUCAAGGAUUCAUAGAUGAGAUGGAGAAGAUCUUCUGAGUUAUGCAUGCUUCUGACUCUGAGUGUGUAGAGUUUGCUGUAUAUCAAUUGAUGGAUGUGGCAUAUCAGUGGUAUAAGUAGUAGGACCAGUCUCGGAGUGAUAAUGUGAAUUUAGCACUAUGGGAAGAAUUUUUGGGUGCCUUCCUGGAUCGUUUCUUCCCUCAGGAGUUGAGAGAGGUUAAAACUGAGGAGUUUAGGAAUUUAAAGUAAGGCAAAAUAACCAUAAAAGAGUAUGCCUUAAGGCUCCACCAAUUUUCAUGUUAUGCUCUUGAGUUAGUCUCUAGCAUGAGGGCUAGAAUGAGGAAAUUUAC